AGAAUCACAUGGAAGCAGCUCUCCCCUAGACUCUCCUAGAUGUUAGGUCUCUGAGAUCAUAGUAAUGCAGUCAGCAAUGAAACCUACCUGGUUAAUUAGAGAAACACAGCUCCAUCAAUGUAAGAGAGAAGUCUGGGCUGCCGAGUGUCUGACGGGACAAAUCCUUCCAACGGCCGCAGCAGGUGCUUCUUCUAGCCCUGUGUUGCAAUGACCUGCAGCUCCUGGGGAUAACUCAGGCACGCUGCUGACGCCAUCAGGAGGCUCAACACCCUCACCCGCUUACGCUACGACCAGCAAAAGCAAACCCCGCAGCUGCCUGCCAGCCGGGAAGAAGGACUGUGUUUCCAUGUUGUGAGUCUCCUCAUUGCAGCCAGAUGAUGAAUUUGCUGCUGGCUUUGUGCGAAACCGAGAAAUACCCAGCGUCCAGCUGAGGGCCCGGGUGGCAACAAAAUCAAGCUGAUGAAUUAAAGAAAUAUGGCCUGGUCAGGAUGCCUGGAGGCCUCAGAGUUCUGAUCUUUCUUCUGAGUUACUACAUCUUCUGAACUGCUCCCAGGAUGGUGUUUGUGAUAAGUUGGUUUGCCCAGUAAAACUGUCGCCCAGUGGAGGCAAGCCCUACCUCCUGUCCUUUCUCAUGCAGUGGUGUGGAGCGUGGUGGGGAAGAAAGGGCGUUCGACAGCAAGUCAAAAACUUUGGAUUUCAUUUGUGGCUGUGACACUGGGUUGGGGUCAGUGGCUCAGUGUUGGGAGGGUCUCAUUUCUCUCCAACUCCAUAGGGCUGUGAGAUCACCCACAGCUUUGAUUUGCAUGUCCAAGCUCAUCCCAGCACUUUCUCCUCAGAAUCUGGCUAACAUUUCAAGUCACUCACUAGCUUCCAGAACUAUGGUUAGCUCAGACUCAGUUGUAGCUUCCCCAAACUGUCAUCCUACUGUUUUUAUCUUACAGCUGAAGGAACUGAAUCCCAAACAGCCCGAGCAACCCAUUCAGAAUCACACCACAGAUUUCCUCACCCCUCUUCCACACCACAGAGCCUUCCCAUUUUUACAUGUCUUUUAUAUUAAGACAAAACCAAAAACUCAUAAUUAAGUCAGUAGUGUAGAAACCUGAAAGAUAUUUUGUUAUAAAAGGUUCACUGUAAACCAGGAUUUAGAAAAUGCAAACCCUUGGGUAAAAUGAAGUGUUUUCAGGACACUCACCAGCAGGAUCCCUGGCCCCAAUUCUGAGAAUGUGACCAUAAGGACAAGAGGCCUGACUGGUCACCCCAGGCCAGGCCACCUCUCUGACAGUCUGGGAUUCUCCCUGCAUGCCCCAGAUCCAUCCUAAUGAUGAAGCUCAGGUGCUGAGAGCAACUGAUCAGAUGUUGGCAGGAUCAUCUAAAUCCAUAGGCAGCCAAGCAGCCACUCUACUUUGCCUGGCAGAGCUGCAGCAGGCACCUGCAGACACCACCCAAGAGACAGUUCUGCAGUGGCUGAAAUGUCUGGAAUCUGUACUCCUGGAGCAGUGGCGAGUGGGCACAGGUGGCUAUGGAGACUUAGAAUGGGGCUAGUGCAAGUGGGAAACUGCAUUUGCAGUUUUAUGUCAUUCUAACUGGUUUAAAGUUUAUGCAGCCACAUGUGGUUAGCGACUAAGGCACUGGACAACACAGUUAGAAAAGUCCCUCUCCUGGGCACUGCCAGCUGCAGGCACAUUCCUAACCUAAGAUGUCCUGCUUGUUCCUCUGGGUGUGUGGGCUGCAGUCUCAGUGUCUGCUCGCGCAUGUGGACACACCUGCCUUUGCCAGCACAUAACUCACCCACCCGUUCGCACACACAUACACAUGCACCCAAUUCACCUUGACUUUGAGUGUCCAUGUCUUUUCUUGGCCCCACCUGCAGUCUUGAUGCCCCAGGUAGGAAUCUUGGCAUGUUGAGGGAGGGGCCUGUGGGAAGCAAACUGCAUUCUCGUCCUUACUCCGUGAUCGUCAAGGAUUCACCCCUGCCAUCUUCUCCCCCUGACCUCAGCGAGAGCACUGUUCAGCAGUUUGCCUAACCGAGAAUCCACAGCUUCUCGUCCCUGUCUGGCUCCCUGUCUCGGAAGCAAUGUUCUCGCGUCUUCCUCCAGACAGGCAGCUGCUGGCAUCUUCACAGCUCCCUCUCUCCGCGGCUGAAGUCAGGACCCACAGAUGGUGCCGCUCGUUUUCCUCAGCAGCUCUGCUUACCGCAUUUACAGGGGUGGCAGAAGCCAGUGCGAAUGAAUAUUAAAUCAACUAAGGCAGAACUUCUCAAAAUACACUCCUCAAAACAGGUUUUUUCUUUUUUCUUUUUUUUUUUAACCCCACAAACUGAGUCCAUUUUGGCUUCAGCGAAAACCACACUCUCACCUUCCUUUCUGUGAAUUACCAGGAAAUAGUUCAAUUUUACUUUUUUUUUUUUUUCUGUCAAACAUUUUCUUCCUAAACUUUUUGGCUGCUACCUGUUUUCAAGCAGACGGCUAAUCCGGUAGCAAAUGAACUGGGUUUUUCUUAGGCUUGACAUAUCUCUGUCAACAGCCUUUUUCUUUUUUUUAAACUAAGCCCAGAUUUUUGUGCAAAACCGAGAAAUACCCAGUGUCCAACUGAGGGCCCGGGUGGCAACAAAAUCAAGCCGAUGAAUUAAAGAAAUAUUGCCUGGUCAGGAUGCCUGGAGGCCUCAGAGUUCUGAUCUUUCUUCUGAAUGACUACAUCUUCUGGACUGCUCCCAGGAUGGUGUUUGUGAUAGGUUGGUUUGCCCAGUAAAACUGUCACCCAAUGAAGGCAAGCCCUACCUCCUGUCCUUUCUCAUGCAGUGGUGUGGAGCGUGGUAGGGAAGAAAGGGCAUUCGACAGCAAGUCGAAAACUCUGGAUUUCAUUUGUGGCUCUUACACCCCUUUUUGAAAGGAGUUUUGAAGCAAGCUUGCAUGCGGUUACACCUGAACUCUCAGUUAAGAGCAAUUCCAUCUUCCAGUUGCUUGGGCCAAAAACUUCCAUAUCAGUCUUAACUCGUAUUUCUCUCAUACACAUAUGCAGUCUGGCAGCUCCACCUCCACCAAAUAUGGAAAUCUGGAUGCCAUUCCUACCUCCCCUGCCAACCCCCUGGUCCAAGCGACCAUGGCCUCUCAGCUGGGUGAAUGCAAGAGACCCUUCUCUGAUCUCCUUGUAUCACCCUUGAGCUUUUAAAAUCUAUUUCCCACCCAGAAGCCUAAGAACCCCAUUCCUCCUCUGUGGUUCUCCUCCUCACUCAGGAAUAAGCCCUGCACGAUCUAGAGCCCCUUCCUGGCCUCUCCCUGCACAGGCAUCCUGCCCUCGCUUCCCCUUCCCCCUUCCCCGUUCCUCACCCCUCCCCCGCCUCUUUCCUGUCGUCCAGCACACCCUGCUCCACCUCCGUGGGCACUUGCUGUUUCCUCUGCCAGAACACUUUGUUCCCAGUAUCUUCACAACCCAAUCCCUCACUUCCUCCAUAUUCUGGCCUUCCUAAGCAUUUUAUCUGAAGUUCCAGCAUCCUCUUGCCCCAACACGUAAUACAGACACACAUUCCUGGCUUUAGUGUUCCUUGCUAACAUUUCGCUCUUGAAAGCAUAUCUUAGGCAGUUACUCUGUUUAUUUUCAAUCUCCCGCGUAAGAACGUAGCUUCCUGAGGGCAGGAAUUUGGGUCUCUUUUGUUCACUGCUGUGACCUCGUUGUCCAGAGGAGUGUCUAGCCCUCCGUAGGCACUCGGGAAAAGUUAAGUGACUUCAUGAGGGCGUCUUCUCCACAGCAGUACCCACAUUCUGUAUUGUGGUGUCAACACUGGCUUACUUUGAAAUGACUGGCCUCUAAUGUAGAGAUAACCCAACCCUCAACACAGUCACUGCCCGACUCUUCAAAAGCCCUAUAACCAUUGAGGUAGGUUAUUAAACUUAGUAUCAUAGGCUUUUUAAAAAAACAACAACAAGGAUUUUUGAGGUAUAACUGGUGUACAAUAAACUGCAUACCAUUUAAGUGUAAAGUUUGGUAAACAUUGAUGUGUAUGCAUCAUUACCACAUGAAAUAUAAUGAAUAUGCCCAUUAUCUCCUCCAAUUUCCCCAUGCCCUUUGUAAUUCCUUCCUCUUGCCCCCUACCCUUUUCUACACAACUAUUGAUUUGUUCUCUGUCACUAUAGAUUCGCUUGCAUUUUCUAGAGUUGUAAGUAGAUGAAAUCAUGCAUUACGUACUUUUCCCCUAGCUUCAUUUGCUCAGCAUGGUUAUUUUGAGAAUCAUCGAUGUCAUUGUGUGCAUCAGAAUCCAUUUCUUUUUACUGCUCAGUAGCAUUCCACAUUUAUCCACUCAUCUGUUGAUAGGCAUUUGGGUUAGUUCCAGUUUGGAGCUAUUACUAGUCAAGCUGCUAUAAACAUUAGUGUACAAGUCUUUGCAUGGGCAUCUGCUUUCAUUUCUUUGUGUAAAUACUUGGGAGUGAAAAUGGUUGAGUCAUAUGAUGGGUACAUGUUUAGCUUUUAAAGAAACUGCCAAACUGUUUUUAAAAAUGGUCAUAACAUUUUGCACUCCUGCCAAUAGCGAAUGAGAGUUCCUAUUCCUCCACAUCCUUGCCAACACUUGGUAUGGUUGGUCUCUUUAAUUUUAGUCAUUCAAGUGGCUAUGUAGUAUUCUCUCACUGUGCUUUUUAUUUGCAUUUCUCUGAUGAUGAACAACUUUUUAAGGUAUAAUUGCCAUGUAUUAAAUUACACAUGAUUACAAUAUACAAUUUAAUCUUGUACAUCUUUUUGUUUACUUGCCAUCCGUAUAUCUUCUUUCAUAAAGUAUGUGUUCAAACCUUU
Homo sapiens (human) is the source of this 4782-nucleotide long non-coding RNA. RefSeq lists it as uncharacterized. NCBI's taxonomy places the organism in Eukaryota, Metazoa, Chordata, Mammalia, Primates, Hominidae. The transcript has 2 exons. The record is from RefSeq and is a predicted model, not a curated record.